UAUUCAAUGGCUGAUCCUGCUCUACUCCUGCUUGUCUCAUACAGUACGAGCAAUUCGGAAUAAUUGAGCUGUGGUGAUAAAAUGCAAUGGACAGAAAGAAUGACAACAUUACUGUUGUCAGAGGUAAAGGAGCAUAAAAAACAGUUAAAUAUACAACCUCAUAAAGUAUUUUGGAAAGAAAUCUGUUCUACAAUUAAUAGUAUUGGCUAUAAUAUAACACUGGAUCAAUGUUAUUCAAAAUGGAAAAGUUUAAAGAGAAAGUAUACCCAAAUAAAGGACAACAAAAAUCGGACUAGUGCCUCUAAUCAACGAUGGAUUUAUUUUGAAAUGGUCGAUAGUAUUUUGAAGACAA
RNAcentral lists this unclassified non-coding RNA (352 nucleotides) under Harpegnathos saltator (Jerdon's jumping ant). RNAcentral's name for it is "uncharacterized LOC112588752, transcript variant X1". The record is from RNAcentral. Lineage: Eukaryota; Metazoa; Arthropoda; Insecta; Hymenoptera; Formicidae.